GAAUUUUGGACAAUGGGCGAAAGCCUGAUCCAGCAAUGCCGCGUGCAGGAUGAAGGCCUUCGGGUUGUAAACUGCUUUUGUACGGAACGAAAAGCUUUGGGUUAAUAACUUGGGGUCCUGACGGUAACGUGAGAGUAAGCACAGCCUAACGACGUGCCAGCAACCGCGGUAAUACGUGGGGUGCAAGCGUUAAUCGGAAUUACUGGGCGUAAAGCGUGCGCAGGCGGUUUUGUAAGACAGAGGUGAAAUCCCCGGGCUCAACCUGGGAACUGCCUUUGUGACUGCAAGGCUAGAGUACGGCAGAGGGGGGUGGAAUUCCGCGUGUAGCAGUGAAAUGCGUAGAUAUGCGGAGGAACACCGAUGGCGAAGGCAACCCCCUGGGCCUGUACUGACGCUCAUGCACGAAAGCGUGGGGAGCAAACAGG
RNAcentral lists this ribosomal RNA (425 nucleotides) under uncultured bacterium. RNAcentral's name for it is "partial 16S ribosomal RNA". It matches the Rfam family "Bacterial small subunit ribosomal RNA", at positions 359 to 776 of the family's 1533-position model. The record is from RNAcentral.